GGACAGGUGCCCGAGAGGCUGAAGGGAACGGUUUGCUAAACCGUCAUACUGCAAUUAGCGGUAUCGCGGGUUCGAAUCCCGCCCUGUCCG
This 90-nucleotide transfer RNA is filed under the name Phycisphaerae bacterium. Its description in RNAcentral is "tRNA-Ser". It matches the Rfam family "tRNA". From Rfam's summary of the family: Transfer RNA (tRNA) molecules are approximately 80 nucleotides in length. Their secondary structure includes four short double-helical elements and three loops (D, anti-codon, and T loops). Further hydrogen bonds mediate the characteristic L-shaped molecular structure. tRNAs have two regions of fundamental functional importance: the anti-codon, which is responsible for specific mRNA codon recognition, and the 3' end, to which the tRNAs corresponding amino acid is attached (by aminoacyl-tRNA synthetases). tRNAs cope with the degeneracy of the genetic code in two manners: having more than one tRNA (with a specific anti-codon) for a particular amino acid; and 'wobble' base-pairing, i.e. permitting non-standard base-pairing at the 3rd anti-codon position. Lineage: Bacteria; Pseudomonadati; Planctomycetota; Phycisphaerae. The record is from RNAcentral.